GAUGAACGCUGGCGGCGUGCCUAAUACAUGCAAGUCGAGCGAACGGACGAGAAGCUUGCUUUUCUGAUGUUAGCGGCGGACGGGUGAGUAACACGUGGAUAACCUACCUAUAAGACUGGGAUAACUUCGGGAAACCGGAGCUAAUACCGGAUAAUAUUUUGAACCGCAUGGUUCAAAAGUGAAAGACGGUCUUGCUGUCACUAAUAGAUGGAUCCGCGCUGCAUUAGCUAGUUGGUAAGGUAACGGCUUACCAAGGCAACGAUGCAUAGCCGACCUGAGAGGGUGAUCAGCCACACUGGAACUGGGACACGGUCCAGACUCCUACGGGAGGCAGCAGUAGGGAAUCUUCCGCAAUGGGCGAAAGCCUGACGGAGCAACGCCGCGUGAGUGAUGAAGGUCUUCGGAUCGUAAAACUCUGUUAUUAGGGAAGAACAUAUGUGUAAGUAACUGUGCACAUCUUGACGGUACCUAAUCAGAAAGCCACGGCUAACUACGUG
This 497-nucleotide ribosomal RNA is filed under the name uncultured bacterium. RNAcentral's name for it is "partial 16S ribosomal RNA". It matches the Rfam family "Bacterial small subunit ribosomal RNA", at positions 28 to 507 of the family's 1533-position model. The record is from RNAcentral.